GUACUCCUAGCUCAAUUGGAUAGAGCAUCGGUCUUCGGAACCGAAGGUUAGAGGUUCAAGUCCUCUGGAGUACG
RNAcentral lists this transfer RNA (74 nucleotides) under Planctomycetaceae bacterium. RNAcentral's name for it is "tRNA-Arg". It matches the Rfam family "tRNA". From Rfam's summary of the family: Transfer RNA (tRNA) molecules are approximately 80 nucleotides in length. Lineage: Bacteria; Pseudomonadati; Planctomycetota; Planctomycetia; Planctomycetales; Planctomycetaceae. The record is from RNAcentral.